AUUGAACGCUGGCGGAAUGCUUUACACAUGCAAGUCGAACGGCAGCACGGACUUCGGUCUGGUGGCGAUUGGCGAACGGGUGAGUAACAUAUCGGAACGUAUCCAAUAAUGGGGGAUAACUAAUCGAAAGGUUGGCUAAUACCGCAUACGCCCUACGGGGGAAAGCAGGGGAUCUUCGGACCUUGCGUUAAUGGAGCGGCUGAUAUCUGAUUUGCUAGUUGGUGAGGUAAAGGCUCACCAAGGCGACGAUCAGUAGCUGGUCUGAGAUGACGACCAGCCACACUGGAACUGAGACACGGUCCAGACUCCUACGGGAGGCAGCAGUGGGGAAUUUUGGAUAAUGGGCGCAAGCCUGAUCCAGCCAUUCCGCGUGAGUGAAGAAGGCCUUCGGGUUGUAAAGCUCUUUCGCAAGGGAAGAAAACUUACUUUCUAAUAAAGAGUGAGGUUGACGGUACCUUGAUAAGAAGCACCGGCUAACUACGUGCCAGCCGCCGCAGUAA
RNAcentral lists this ribosomal RNA (500 nucleotides) under uncultured bacterium. RNAcentral describes it as "partial 16S ribosomal RNA". It matches the Rfam family "Bacterial small subunit ribosomal RNA", at positions 30 to 523 of the family's 1533-position model. The record is from RNAcentral.